AACGUAGGAGACGAACGUUAUCCGGAGUUACUGGGCGUAAAGGGCGUGCAGGCGGUCUGGUAAGUUCGGCGUGAAAUAUUCCGGCUUAACCGGGAUAGGUCGUCGGAGACUGUCGGACUAGAGGGUGAUAGAGGCGUAUGGAAUUCCGGGUGUAGUGGUGAAAUGCGUAGAGAUCCGGAGGAACACCAGUGGCGAAGGCGACACGCUGGGUCACACCUGACGCUAAAGCGCGACAGCAUGGGGAGCGAACGGG
This 253-nucleotide ribosomal RNA is filed under the name uncultured bacterium. Its description in RNAcentral is "partial 16S ribosomal RNA". It matches the Rfam family "Bacterial small subunit ribosomal RNA", at positions 524 to 776 of the family's 1533-position model. The record is from RNAcentral.